GACGAACGCUGGCGGCGCGCUUAACACAUGCAAGUCGAGCGGUAAGGCCCUUUCAGGGGUACACGAGCGGCGAACGGGUGAGUAACACGUGGGUGACCUGCCCUUAGCUCUGGGAUAAGCCUGGGAAACUGGGUCUAAUACCGGAUAUGACUCCAUGACGCAUGUUGUGGGGUGGAAAGCCUUGUGCGGCUAGGGAUGGGCCCGCGGCCUAUCAGCUUGUUGGUGGGGUGANGGCCUACCAAGGCGACGACGGGUAGCCGGCCUGAGAGGGCGACCGGCCACACUGGGACUGAGACACGGCCCAGACUCCUACGGGAGGCAGCAGUGGGGAAUCUUGCGCAAUGGGCGAAAGCCUGACGCAGCGACGCCGCGUGGGGAUGAC
This 382-nucleotide ribosomal RNA is filed under the name uncultured bacterium. RNAcentral's name for it is "bacterial SSU rRNA". It matches the Rfam family "Bacterial small subunit ribosomal RNA", at positions 28 to 412 of the family's 1533-position model. The record is from RNAcentral.